ACCAUGUCAACUAUUUGUGGGACACCAAGAUCUCCUUCUCACAUCUGUUCAUCAAAGGGUGGGACACAACGCGUGAGAUACAGGUGUAUCCCCCUGCUGACGGCCCCCUAGCAGUCUAUAAGAAGGCGUCAUUCUUUGAAUAUUUGGAUUAUGCAGUUACGACGUAUGCUCACAUCAGAGAGACAGCUAUUGGCACCUACACCUAUGAACACAAAAAUGGAACUGUAGUCCCUCCAGUUCUGUGUGUGUCGCACUACAAGAAAGGUGAAGCCUUUAUUGACAACAAACAUAUAUUCUGGAUAAUGAUGUCACCCAGUCAUGCAUAGAGAUCCCACCCUCAGAGGCCAAUGCGACUGACUGGUCCACAAAGGAGUUCAUGGAGAAGAACAACUUCACCUUCAACUUCGACCUGCUCCUCAACACAGACUUCACUUUCCAGCUGCGUACCAUCAAGCUCCGUGUCAAUCUGCCCUUUGACACCCCAGAAUGCUAUAGGCUAACUGG
Non-coding RNA from Penaeus vannamei (Pacific white shrimp), 504 nucleotides. The record is from RefSeq and is a predicted model, not a curated record. Lineage: Eukaryota; Metazoa; Arthropoda; Malacostraca; Decapoda; Penaeidae.